AACGAACGCUGGCGGCGUGCUUAACACAUGCAAGUCAAGGAGAAAGUCUCUUCGGAGGCGAGUAAACUGGCGCACGGGUGAGUAACGCGUGAGGAACCUGCCCAUAUGUCUGGGAUAACCUGCUGAAAAGCGGGCUAAUACUGGAUAUAUUGUUUACUGCAUGGUGAACAAGGAAAGUUGGUGCAAGCUAACGCAUAUGGAUGGUCUCGCGUCUGAUUAGCUAGUUGGUGGGGUAAAGGCUCACCAAGGCAACGAUCAGUAGCCGGCCUGAGAGGGUGGACGGCCACAUUGGAACUGAGACACGGUCCAGACUCCUACGGGAGGCAGCAGCUAAGAAUCUUCCGCAAUGGGCGAAAGCCUGACGGAGCGACGCCGCGUGAACGAAGAAGGCCGUGAGGUUGUAAAGUUCUUUUCGGGAGGGGGAAUGACCGUGGCAGGGAAUGGCCGCGGGAUGACGUGAAUCCCGGAAUAAGCCCCGGCUAACUACGUGCCAGCAGCCGCGGUAACACGUAGGGGGCGAGCGUUGUUCGGAAUCAUUGGGCGUAAAGGGCGUGCAGGCGGCACUGCAAGUCCGGCGUGAAAGACCCCGGCCCAACCGGGGGGGUGCGCUGGAAACUGCGGUGCUUGAGUACAGGAGGGGAUGGCGGAAUUCCAGGUGUAGGGGUGAAAUCUGUAGAUAUCUGGAAGAACACCGAUGGCGAACGCAGGCAUCUGGCCAUGUACUGACGCUGAGACGCGAAAGGUGCGGGGAGCAAACA
This 758-nucleotide ribosomal RNA is filed under the name uncultured Sphaerochaeta sp. RNAcentral describes it as "bacterial SSU rRNA". It matches the Rfam family "Bacterial small subunit ribosomal RNA", at positions 28 to 774 of the family's 1533-position model. The record is from RNAcentral. Lineage: Bacteria; Pseudomonadati; Spirochaetota; Spirochaetia; Spirochaetales; Sphaerochaetaceae.